Molecule: ribosomal RNA, 1579 nt
Filed under: Catharanthus roseus (Madagascar periwinkle)
Lineage: Eukaryota; Viridiplantae; Streptophyta; Magnoliopsida; Gentianales; Apocynaceae
Description: bacterial LSU rRNA
Rfam family: Bacterial large subunit ribosomal RNA
Source: RNAcentral
UGAUCGGGCUGAGGGCUGCCCCCUCUUCCCCUCACUCUCCUUUCCCUAAGCUUAAUGCCCUUGAGUCAUUAAAGCCUUUCUUACUUGGCCUGGCCCGGUCACCCUAAGCAACUGGCGCUUCAAAAGGUGAAACUCUCAUCGUAGUUUGGCGACCUAUCUUCAAUAGGGGCCUUUAGUCUUUUGAUUAGAGUAGGCGUCACGAGAGAGUAGAGCAUAGCGCACUGCCAUAGCCAUGAGUCUGUUUAUAGUCGCGACUGUUGUCAUAGUUAACAAGGUUUAAACUUUCAGGAAGAAACUUCGAAUUGAGAGGGCGAUCCUCCCGGUGAACUGACCGUAUCCCAAACCGACACAGGUACACAAGUAGAGUAUACUAGGGCGCUUGAGAGAACCAUGUCGAAGGAACUCGGCAAAAUGACCCCGUAACUUAGGGAGAAAGGGUGCUCUCUUAUCUUUUGAUUAGGAAAGCGGCACAUGCGAGGGGGUAGCGACUGUUUAUUAAAAACACAGGACUUUGCUAAGUGGUAACACGAUGUAUAGAGUCUGACACCUACCUGAUGCUAGAAGGUUGGAAGGAGAAGUGUUAUACUGUUAUAAGCUUUGAAUGGAAGCUCGGUAAACGGCGGCAAUAACUCUAACUGUCUUAAGGUAGCGAAAUUCCUUAUCGCAUAAGUAGAGACCUGCACGAAUGGUGUAACAACUGCCCUACUGUCUCCGACAUGGACCCGGUAAAAUUAAAUUCUCCGUGAAGAUGCGAAGUACCAACAGCUAGACUGUAAGACCCCGUGCACCUUAACUAUAGUUUCGCAGUGAAAAACUUGAUCGAAUGUGUAGGAUAGGUGGGAGGUGGUGACACACAACGACCAAUCCUAAAAGACCACCUUUCAUCUCACCGGUCAUUUGGGGGGAGGCGGGACAAUGUGAAGUGGGUAAUUUAUUUGGACAGAUGCCUCCUAAAGAGUAACGGAGGUGUGCAAAGAUAAGCUCAAGCUAAUAUUAAUGGUAUAAGCCCACCUGACUGUUAGACCGACUGGUCGAACAGAGAUGAAUGUCGGCCAUAGUGAUCUGGGAGUCCCGUAUGGAAGGGCUCUUAGUGAUUUGGGAGUCCCGUAUGGAAGGGCUCUCGCUCAACAGAUCAAAGGUACGCCGGGGAUAAUAGACUGAUGGCUCCUAAGAGCUCUUAUUGACGGAGUCGUUUGGCAUCUCGAUGUCGACUUAUCACAUCCUGGGGUUGAAAAAGGUCCCAAGGGUUUAGUUGUUCACUGAUUCAAGUGGUACGUGAGUUGGGUUUAUAACGUCGUCAGAAAGUUCGAUUCCUAUCUACCAUUGGUGUUAAAGGGAGAACUACGAGGAGCCAACCCUAGCACGAGAGGACUGGGUUAGGCCAACCUAUGGUGUACCGGUUGUUAUGCCAAUAGCAGCGCCGAGCAGCUAAGUUGGUAUGGAAGAACUGCAGCGCCACGGGAAAUCCUUCUCUAUACAAGUUCUCGAACGAGGUUUUUGAACAGAACUUUGAUAGGCGAGAGGUGUAAGCACCGUGAGGUGUGAAGCGAUCUCAUACUAAACGAAAUGAUUUUCACUU